AUUUUCUAUUGCUGCAGUCAUGUGAGGAGAGUCCUUCCCCUCGCGCCAGGAUUCUGAGGCCUCCCCAGCCAUGUGGAACUGGCAAGGAUUGUUAUGACCUUUUUGCUAUUCUGGUGCAGAAAGCAUUUCAUGUAAAACCUGGGGUUGAUGACAUGAGCAAUAUCCGGAGAGAGAGAGAGAGAGAGGUUCCUAUAGAAUACAAGACAAGACUAUCACAAUGUUACAUGACCAUGACCUUAAGGAAUGAAGGAUUCUCUAUCCUGCUGACUGGUUUAUCCUCAAAGCUGAAAUGUUGGGUCUGUGAAAGUGAUGAGAAGCACAGUGGAAAUAAGUUUCUGAAGGAUGGAAGAGGCUGGAGGCUGGCUAGUGGGAGAAGGUUCCCAGACACAUGAGAGAACCAGCAACAGAUUAAAAUCAUCCUUACCUGACAAGAGGACCCAGUGAAUCAAUGU
RNAcentral lists this long non-coding RNA (452 nucleotides) under Pongo abelii (Sumatran orangutan). RNAcentral's name for it is "lincRNA". The record is from RNAcentral. Lineage: Eukaryota; Metazoa; Chordata; Mammalia; Primates; Hominidae.